Molecule: ribosomal RNA, 461 nt
Filed under: uncultured bacterium
Lineage: Bacteria
Description: partial 16S ribosomal RNA
Rfam family: Bacterial small subunit ribosomal RNA
Source: RNAcentral
CCUACGGGAGGCAGCAGUGAGGAAUAUUGGUCAAUGGGCGGGAGCCUGAACCAGCCAAGUCGCGUGAGGGAAGACGGUCCUAUGGAUUGUAAACCUCUUUAGGCGGGGAGCAAUGCCGGGCACGCGUGCCCGGAGGGAGAGUACCCGCAGAAUAAGCAUCGGCUAACUCCGUGCCAGCAGCCGCGGUAAUACGGAGGAUGCGAGCGUUAUCCGGAUUUAUUGGGUUUAAAGGGUGCGUAGGUGGUUAAUUAAGUCAGCGGUGAAAGUUUGUGGCUCAACCAUAAAAUUGCCGUUGAAACUGGUUGACUUGAGUAUAUUUGAGGUAGGCGGAAUGCGUGGUGUAGCGGUGAAAUGCAUAGAUAUCACGCAGAACUCCGAUUGCGAAGGCAGCUUACUAAACUAUAACUGACACUGAAGCACGAAAGCGUGGGGAUCAAACAGGAUUAGAUACCCCUGUAGUC